UAAAGCGGGUGAAAAGCCCGCUCGCCGGAAGACCAAGGGUUCCUGUCCAACGUUAAUCGGGGCAGGGUGAGUCGACCCCUAAGGCGAGGCCGAAAGGCGUAGUCGAUGGGAAACAGGUUAAUAUUCCUGUACUUGGUGUUACUGCGAAGGGGGGACGGAGAAGGCUAUGUUAGCCGGGCGACGGUUGUCCCGGUUUAAGCAUGUAGGCUGGUUGUCCAGGCAAAUCCGGAUAAUCAAGGCUGAGGUGUGAUGACGAGGCACUACGGUGCUGAAGUAACAAAUGCCCUGCUUCCAGGAAAAGCCUCUAAGCAUCAGGUAACAUCAAAUCGUACCCCAAACCGACACAGGUGGUCAGGUAGAGAAUACCAAGGCGCUUGAGAGAACUCGGGUGAAGGAACUAGGCAAAAUGGUGCCGUAACUUCGGGAGAAGGCACGCUGGUGUGUAGGUGAAGUCCCUGCGGAUGGAGCUGAGACCAGUCGAAGAUACCAGCUGGCUGCAACUGUUUAUUAAAAACACAGCACUGUGCAAACACGAAAGUGGACGUAUACGGUGUGACGCCUGCCCGGUGCCGGAAGGUUAAUUGAUGGGGUUAUCCGUAAGGAGAAGCUCUUGAUCGAAGCCCCGGUAAACGGCGGCCGUAACUAUAACGGUCCUAAGGUAGCGAAAUUCCUUGUCGGGUAAGUUCCGACCUGCACGAAUGGCGUAAUGAUGGCCAGGCUGUCUCCACCCGAGACUCAGUGAAAUUGAACUCGCUGUGAAGAUGCAGUGUACCCGCGGCAAGACGGAAAGACCCCGUGAACCUUUACUAUAGCUUGACACUGAACAUUGAGCCUUGAUGUGUAGGAUAGGUGGGAGGCUUUGAAGCGUGGACGCCAGUCUGCGUGGAGCCAACCUUGAAAUACCACCCUUUAAUGUUUGAUGUUCUAACGUUGGCCCCUUACCGGGGUUGCGGACAGUGUCUGGUGGGUAGUUUGACUGGGGCGGUCUCCUCCCAAAGCGUAACGGAGGAGCACGAAGGUUAGCUAAUCCUGGUCGGACAUCAGGAGGUUAGUGCAAUGGCAUAAGCUAGCUUGACUGCGAGCGUGACGGCGCGAGCAGGUGCGAAAGCAGGUCAUAGUGAUCCGGUGGUUCUGAAUGGAAGGGCCAUCGCUCAACGGAUAAAAGGUACUCCGGGGAUAACAGGCUGAUACCGCCCAAGAGUUCAUAUCGACGGCGGUGUUUGGCACCUCGAUGUCGGCUCAUCACAUCCUGGGGCUGAAGUAGGUCCCAAGGGUAUGGCUGUUCGCCAUUUAAAGUGGUACGCGAGCUGGGUUUAGAACGUCGUGAGACAGUUCGGUCCCUAUCUGCCGUGGGCGCUGGAGAAUUGAGGGGGGCUGCUCCUAGUACGAGAGGACCGGAGUGGACGCAUCACUGGUGUUCGGGUUGUCAUGCCAAUGGCACUGCCCGGUAGCUAAAUGCGGAAGAGAUAAGUGCUGAAAGCAUCUAAGCACGAAACUUGCCCCGAGAUGAGUUCUCCCUGAGACUUUAAGUCUCCUGAAGGAACGUUGAAGACGACGACGUUGAUAGGCCGGGUGUGUAAGCGCAGCGAUGCGUUGAGCUAACCGGUACUAAUGAACCGUGAGGCUUAACCUUACAACGCCGAAG
This 1645-nucleotide ribosomal RNA is filed under the name Klebsiella pneumoniae. RNAcentral's name for it is "partial 23S ribosomal RNA". It matches the Rfam family "Bacterial large subunit ribosomal RNA", at positions 1313 to 2925 of the family's 2925-position model. The record is from RNAcentral. Lineage: Bacteria; Pseudomonadati; Pseudomonadota; Gammaproteobacteria; Enterobacterales; Enterobacteriaceae.